UCUGGGAGAGGUGUUGUAUGCCUGUAAUCACAGCUCUUUAGGAGGCUGAGGUGGGAGGACUGAUUGAGCCAAGGAGUUCUGGACUGACGUGCACUAUGCUGACCUUGUGGCCACAUUAAAUACAGCAUCAAUAUGGUGACCCUGAGGGCUGAGGACCACCAGCUUACCUAGGGAGGGCUGAAUCAGUCCAGUUUGGAAAGGGAGCAGGUCAAAACUCCCUUGCAGAUUAGUAAGGGGAUCAUGCCUGUGAAUAGCCACUGCUCUCCACCCUGGGCAACAUAGCAAGACCUCAUCUCU
Molecule: signal recognition particle RNA, 297 nt
Filed under: Carlito syrichta (Philippine tarsier)
Lineage: Eukaryota; Metazoa; Chordata; Mammalia; Primates; Tarsiidae
Description: Metazoan signal recognition particle RNA (ENSTSYG00000027975.1)
Rfam family: Metazoan signal recognition particle RNA
About the family: The signal recognition particle (SRP) is a universally conserved ribonucleoprotein. It is involved in the co-translational targeting of proteins to membranes.
Source: RNAcentral